AUGUCGCUGAAUACCCAACUGAGAUCGGCUUAUGCAGUUCCGAAACAGGAUCCGACCACCGCAAACUACCACCGACCACGCAACCUGCCGUUAGGCAAAGGAACCUGCCACCGAUCACUUUUCUCACUCGGCCCUAAUGGGAGUAAAGGCUACUCUGCUAUUAUUUUUCAGAAGCAGCCUCUCCUGCACCCCAGACCUUCUGACCUGAAUGGAGCUGGAUCAGCCCGACAGACCCGGCCAGCACAUAGUGUGAAGCAGAUGGGCCGGCUGGUGAUGAGGCGACUGUGUGUGCCAGAGUUAGACCAGAGGUUUUCAGACAUGGCCGAGACCUUCAACGACCAGCACCAGCGCUACGAGGCCAUGGUCCGACAUAUCAGAAACCUGCGUCAGAGCUCUGGGUGUAACCAUGAUGAUACACUUUCAUUAGCAGAAUGUCUGGGGACCAUCAGAGCUGAGCAUGAGACCAGGUACAGGGUCUCCCUUAAGAUGAAGGGCUAUGACUUCACCCUCAGUGUGGUUCCUGUGGUUGAAGGGGAGGAGGAGCCACCACCUCCUCCACACCUGCAACUGGCUCAGAGUGAAAUGAAGAGCACCUCAGAGUGCGCCAAAGCCACCAUUUCAAAGGGUACCACCCUUCAAGAGUUAGUAGGCUGGCUUCUCCGUAGCAAAAAUGAAAUGGCUGAGCGAGUGAAAGAAGCUGCAGGAACUUUACAGGAGCAAGGAAGACUCAAUGAGAACCUGGAGAAGAACCUGAAGGAAGUGAGGAGGGCCAAGGAGUUGUCGCUGGGAUACAGACAACGGGCCGGGGAGGUCCUCACCGAGGCCGCUCAGAUAGCAGGAACUUGUCUGUAA
Gasterosteus aculeatus (three-spined stickleback) is the source of this 852-nucleotide long non-coding RNA. NCBI's taxonomy places the organism in Eukaryota, Metazoa, Chordata, Actinopteri, Perciformes, Gasterosteidae. The record is from Ensembl.